CAAGAUAUGGCACAAGUUCAACAUGAAACAUGGAUUAGAAUUUAAUGGGGGAUCAAAUCAAGUCUGGAAGUGUUACAGGAUGGAAGAGUCAGCCUACAGAUGAAAAAACACUGAGAGUGCAUUACCAUUAAGUACAACAGCAAUCCUUUAUAGUUCUGUCACAGCUAGAAACCUCAAAUAAUUCUGCUUCUCUGUCUAAAGAACAACUUGUCCUUUACGUUCAGAGUGUUGGGGAAACUGGGUACUUAAAUGGCCCUAAAGAAGUUUUAAUUUUGCUGCCAUUGCAGAGAUGAACAUCAUACAUGGACUCUUUAGGUCUAAUCUACCAAAAAAAAAUUUUAUCCAAAAGGAAAGGAUUUUCAUGUACUGGGAACACAACUAUCAACAAUGCAACAUUGUACAGCUUCCACCAGAAGUUGAAUCUAUGAGUCAUGUAAGUUACAUGAUCAACAGUUGAUAUGUUUAACGGUGUUGUUUUUCUUUUCUCAAUAUAGGUUAAUAGUAACAUUGGAUCUGAAAAAAUUCUUGGUUGGGGCAAGACACUGAAUAAAUUGUAUUGAUUGGAUGGAUGACAUGACAUUUCUAUACUUAAUUCGGAUUCCCCA
Molecule: long non-coding RNA, 605 nt
Organism: Daphnia carinata
Lineage: Eukaryota; Metazoa; Arthropoda; Branchiopoda; Diplostraca; Daphniidae
Exons: 5
Source: RefSeq, a predicted model, not a curated record